AUGGAUAUUACAAGGAGAGUAAUCGGCCCAUUGACUGAACAAAUUGAAAAGUCUUACUUAAUUAAGCACUGGAGCACGUACCGUCCAAUCGCAAUUGAGCACGGAAGAAGAAGAAGAAAACGAAGCGAAAGUGAAGACGCGAAGGGAGAGGAAACAGAGCAUGGGCCGUGGAGCGGUGCGUACCUGCAGGGCGGCGGCGUCGUGCCUGGGGCCGUCGGCGGCGGGGGCGGGCGCCUGGCAGCCGCCGAGGAAGUCCCGGGUGACGAGCUCCGGCGCGAUGGUCCCGCCGUCCGCCGCGCGGGACAUCAUGAAGCCCACCGCCUCAGCGACCAUCUAGCACGCCACCUCGAAGAGGAGGAAGAAGGAGGAGGUGCUUGGUUGGAACAAGGAGGGAGCGGCAAUGGAGGUUGUGAGGGAGGGAGACGCGGGGGGAGGAGGAGGUAG
This 444-nucleotide ribosomal RNA is filed under the name Triticum aestivum (bread wheat). Its description in RNAcentral is "partial small subunit ribosomal RNA". Lineage: Eukaryota; Viridiplantae; Streptophyta; Magnoliopsida; Poales; Poaceae. The record is from RNAcentral.